UCGUUUGGGCCGGCCUGUUUAUUUCCUGUUCGCUGUCCCCCUUCCUCCCUCGACCGCUUCAUUCGUUGUCUACAGAGAAGCUUUCCCUUUCUCCUUCGUGCCUGGAUCCCCUUUUCCUCCGUCGUUCGACCGCUUUUAUCACCUGCUUCUUCCUCCGGGAUCCUACUCCGGCAAGAGAACGCCGAUCUCGUCGCCGGUGUCUCCAGCGGCGGCGUCUGCGUCGUCUAGGGUUCCGACAAGGUCGGCGUCGUCUAGGGUUCUGACAAAGUCGGCGUAGUCUAGGCCCCCGUCAAGCUUCGUCAAGCUCGGCGUCGACAAGGUGCGAUGGGCGGAGGCAGCGACGGGGAGUGGAGCUCGUUUGGAUUGUAAGCCAGAAGUUGUCCUCGGCAUCCCGAGCUUGAUUUCCGCCUUGGAAGCCCAUCCUGCACAGGGGGUAGGCGUGGACGUGAGGCUCCAGGGUGCUACUACCGCGUAUGGCCGGCCCCGUAGUCCCGUGGAUAAGCAGCGAGCGGAUUUUUUUACAUCAUGAACCUGUACUACAGUGGCGAUGCAUUUCUGCCUACAAUUAUUGCCGUGAUCUACAACUUCAAGCCUUUGUUUGCUGCUACAUACGGAAAUACUACUUUUAGCAUAGGAAAUUUUGAGUCGAGAUUUCUACCAGCUCUGAAAGUCAAUUUCAGGUAUGACUCAAGAGUUUUCCUUCUUCAUAUCUUAGCAACUACAGAGGUCUCGGAAUGGAGGGUUUCUCUAAUGAUGAUCUACAAGGUCUACAUGAGAAAUUGCUUUUCGAGAUUGUCACUUGCAAGGACAAUGAAAUUCAGCUGCCAUUUGUAACUUCUUUCCUGCAGAGACAUGGUUUCCGCAUGUUCAAAUAAAGAUUUCAAGGCAAUCAUUUUUGAACCCACAUAUGAACACAUCUUAUGUACCAACUAACAUAUUUCCCUUUUUAUUAUCAAGGGUCCAAAUGCAACAGAAUUUUCCAACUCAAAGGAAUAGUACCGUGAGGGAACUCUUCUAUUUCUUUAUUAGCUGUAAAGAAGGUUCCCCAAUGAAGCUGUUCCAUUGGUUUCCCAGUGAUACUUUGUGUCAUUACUUUCAGUUGUAAAGAAGGUUUAAAUCUGCAGAAUAAGUUUGUAAAGAAGCUCAAACAUGCUUCUAUACUCAUACUUUCUUGGAUUUUCAAUUGUUUUAACUAGCAGUUGAAACAACAAAAAUCCUCUUUUGUA
Molecule: long non-coding RNA, 1226 nt
Organism: Triticum dicoccoides
Lineage: Eukaryota; Viridiplantae; Streptophyta; Magnoliopsida; Poales; Poaceae
Exons: 8
Source: RefSeq, a predicted model, not a curated record